GGGGCCGUGGUCUAGUGGUAUGACAUCUCGUUUGCAAUUUGCAACCGUUGAGUCGAGAAGAUCGGGGGUUCGAUCCCCUCCGGCUCCA
Molecule: transfer RNA, 88 nt
Filed under: Ceraceosorus bombacis
Lineage: Eukaryota; Fungi; Basidiomycota; Exobasidiomycetes; Ceraceosorales; Ceraceosoraceae
Rfam family: tRNA
About the family: Transfer RNA (tRNA) molecules are approximately 80 nucleotides in length. Their secondary structure includes four short double-helical elements and three loops (D, anti-codon, and T loops). Further hydrogen bonds mediate the characteristic L-shaped molecular structure. tRNAs have two regions of fundamental functional importance: the anti-codon, which is responsible for specific mRNA codon recognition, and the 3' end, to which the tRNAs corresponding amino acid is attached (by aminoacyl-tRNA synthetases). tRNAs cope with the degeneracy of the genetic code in two manners: having more than one tRNA (with a specific anti-codon) for a particular amino acid; and 'wobble' base-pairing, i.e. permitting non-standard base-pairing at the 3rd anti-codon position.
Source: Rfam by way of RNAcentral